GGUUAAGCGACUAAGCGUACACGGUGGAUGCCCUGGCAGUCAGAGGCGAUGAAGGACGUGCUAAUCUGCGAUAAGCGUCGGUAAGGUGAUAUGAACCGUUAUAACCGGCGAUUUCCGAAUGGGGAAACCCAGUGUGUUUCGACACACUAUCAUUAACUGAAUCCAUAGGUUAAUGAGGCGAACCGGGGGAACUGAAACAUCUAAGUACCCCGAGGAAAAGAAAUCAACCGAGAUUCCCCCAGUAGCGGCGAGCGAACGGGGAGGAGCCCAGAGCCUGAAUCAGUGUGUGUGUUAGUGGAAGCGUCUGGAAAGGCGCGCGAUACAGGGUGACAGCCCCGUACACAAAAAUGCACAUAUUGUGAGCUCGAUGAGUAGGGCGGGACACGUGGUAUCCUGUCUGAAUAUGGGGGGACCAUCCUCCAAGGCUAAAUACUCCUGACUGACCGAUAGUGAACCAGUACCGUGAGGGAAAGGCGAAAAGAACCCCGGCGAGGGGAGUGAAAAAGAACCUGAAACCGUGUACGUACAAGCAGUGGGAGCCUCUUUUAUGGGGUGACUGCGUACCUUUUGUAUAAUGGGUCAGCGACUUAUAUUCUGUAGCAAGGUUAACCGAAUAGGGGAGCCGAAGGGAAACCGAGUCUUAACUGGGCGUUAAGUUGCAGGGUAUAGACCCGAAACCCGGUGAUCUAGCCAUGGGCAGGUUGAAGGUUGGGUAACACUAACUGGAGGACCGAACCGACUAAUGUUGAAAAAUUAGCGGAUGACUUGUGGCUGGGGGUGAAAGGCCAAUCAAACCGGGAGAUAGCUGGUUCUCCCCGAAAGCUAUUUAGGUAGCGCCUCGUGAAUUCAUCUCCGGGGGUAGAGCACUGUUUCGGCAAGGGGGUCAUCCCGACUUACCAACCCGAUGCAAACUGCGAAUACCGGAGAAUGUUAUCACGGGAGACACACGGCGGGUGCUAACGUCCGUCGUGAAGAGGGAAACAACCCAGACCGCCAGCUAAGGUCCCAAAGUCAUGGUUAAGUGGGAAACGAUGUGGGAAGGCCCAGACAGCCAGGAUGUUGGCUUAGAAGCAGCCAUCAUUUAAAGAAAGCGUAAUAGCUCACUGGUCGAGUCGGCCUGCGCGGAAGAUGUAACGGGGCUAAACCAUGCACCGAAGCUGCGGCAGCGACACUAUGUGUUGUUGGGUAGGGGAGCGUUCUGUAAGCCUGUGAAGGUGUACUGUGAGGUAUGCUGGAGGUAUCAGAAGUGCGAAUGCUGACAUAAGUAACGAUAAAGCGGGUGAAAAGCCCGCUCGCCGGAAGACCAAGGGUUCCUGUCCAACGUUAAUCGGGGCAGGGUGAGUCGACCCCUAAGGCGAGGCCGAAAGGCGUAGUCGAUGGGAAACAGGUUAAUAUUCCUGUACUUGGUGUUACUGCGAAGGGGGGACGGAGAAGGCUAUGUUGGCCGGGCGACGGUUGUCCCGGUUUAAGCGUGUAGGCUGGUUUUCCAGGCAAAUCCGGAAAAUCAAGGCUGAGGCGUGAUGACGAGGCACUACGGUGCUGAAGCAACAAAUGCCCUGCUUCCAGGAAAAGCCUCUAAGCAUCAGGUAACAUCAAAUCGUACCCCAAACCGACACAGGUGGUCAGGUAGAGAAUACCAAGGCGCUUGAGAGAACUCGGGUGAAGGAACUAGGCAAAAUGGUGCCGUAACUUCGGGAGAAGGCACGCUGAUAUGUAGGUGAAGUCCCUCGCGGAUGGAGCUGAAAUCAGUCGAAGAUACCAGCUGGCUGCAACUGUUUAUUAAAAACACAGCACUGUGCAAACACGAAAGUGGACGUAUACGGUGUGACGCCUGCCCGGUGCCGGAAGGUUAAUUGAUGGGGUCAGCGCAAGCGAAGCUCUUGAUCGAAGCCCCGGUAAACGGCGGCCGUAACUAUAACGGUCCUAAGGUAGCGAAAUUCCUUGUCGGGUAAGUUCCGACCUGCACGAAUGGCGUAAUGAUGGCCAGGCUGUCUCCACCCGAGACUCAGUGAAAUUGAACUCGCUGUGAAGAUGCAGUGUACCCGCGGCAAGACGGAAAGACCCCGUGAACCUUUACUAUAGCUUGACACUGAACAUUGAGCCUUGAUGUGUAGGAUAGGUGGGAGGCUUAGAAGUGUGGACGCCAGUCUGCAUGGAGCCGACCUUGAAAUACCACCCUUUAAUGUUUGAUGUUCUAACGUUGACCCGUAAUCCGGGUUGCGGACAGUGUCUGGUGGGUAGUUUGACUGGGGCGGUCUCCUCCUAAAGAGUAACGGAGGAGCACGAAGGUUGGCUAAUCCUGGUCGGACAUCAGGAGGUUAGUGCAAUGGCAUAAGCCAGCUUGACUGCGAGCGUGACGGCGCGAGCAGGUGCGAAAGCAGGUCAUAGUGAUCCGGUGGUUCUGAAUGGAAGGGCCAUCGCUCAACGGAUAAAAGGUACUCCGGGGAUAACAGGCUGAUACCGCCCAAGAGUUCAUAUCGACGGCGGUGUUUGGCACCUCGAUGUCGGCUCAUCACAUCCUGGGGCUGAAGUAGGUCCCAAGGGUAUGGCUGUUCGCCAUUUAAAGUGGUACGCGAGCUGGGUUUAGAACGUCGUGAGACAGUUCGGUCCCUAUCUGCCGUGGGCGCUGGAGAACUGAGGGGGGCUGCUCCUAGUACGAGAGGACCGGAGUGGACGCAUCACUGGUGUUCGGGUUGUCAUGCCAAUGGCACUGCCCGGUAGCUAAAUGCGGAAGAGAUAAGUGCUGAAAGCAUCUAAGCACGAAACUUGCCCCGAGAUGAGUUCUCCCUGAGACUAUAAGUCUCCUGAAGGAACGUUGAAGACGACGACGUUGAUAGGCCGGGUGUGUAAGCGCAGCGAUGCGUUGAGCUAACCGGUACUAAUGAACCGUGAGGCUUAACCUU
RNAcentral lists this ribosomal RNA (2903 nucleotides) under Escherichia coli. Its description in RNAcentral is "23S ribosomal RNA". It matches the Rfam family "Bacterial large subunit ribosomal RNA". The record is from RNAcentral. Lineage: Bacteria; Pseudomonadati; Pseudomonadota; Gammaproteobacteria; Enterobacterales; Enterobacteriaceae.